GCCCGGAUAGCUCAGUCGGUAGAGCAGAGGAUUGAAAAUCCUCGUGUCCAUGGUUCGAAUCCGUGUCCGGGCACCA
RNAcentral lists this transfer RNA (76 nucleotides) under Cycloclasticus sp. symbiont of Bathymodiolus heckerae. RNAcentral describes it as "tRNA-Phe". It matches the Rfam family "tRNA". From Rfam's summary of the family: Transfer RNA (tRNA) molecules are approximately 80 nucleotides in length. Their secondary structure includes four short double-helical elements and three loops (D, anti-codon, and T loops). The record is from RNAcentral. RNAcentral also lists the same sequence under 3 other names. Lineage: Bacteria; Pseudomonadati; Pseudomonadota; Gammaproteobacteria; Thiotrichales; Piscirickettsiaceae.